GACGAACGCUGGCGGCGUGCCUAAUACAUGCAAGUAGAACGCUGAAGGAGGAGCUUGCUUCUCCGGAUGAGUUGCGAACGGGUGAGUAACGCGUAGGUAACCUGCCUGGUAGCGGGGGAUAACUAUUGGAAGCGAUAGCUAAUACCGCAUAAGAGUAGAUGUUGCAUGACAUUUGCUUAAAAGGUGCAAUUGCAUCACUACCAGAUGGACCUGCGUUGUAUUAGCUAGUUGGUGGGGUAACGGCUCACCAAGGCGACGAUACAUAGCCGACCUGAGAGGGUGAUCGGCCACACUGGGACUGAGACACGGCCCAGACUCCUACGGGAGGCAGCAGUAGGGAAUCUUCGGCAAUGGACGGAAGUCUGACCGAGCAACGCCGCGUGAGUGAAGAAGGUUUUCGGAUCGUAAAGCUCUGUUGUAAGAGAAGAACGAGUGUGAGAGUGGAAAGUUCACACUGUGACGGUAUCUUACCAGAAAGGGACGGCUAACUACGUGCCAGCAGCCGCGGUAAUACGUAGGUCCCGAGCGUUGUCCGGAUUUAUUGGGCGUAAAGCGAGCGCAGGCGGUUAGAUAAGUCUGAAGUUAAAGGCUGUGGCUUAACCAUAGUACGCUUUGGAAACUGUUUAACUUGAGUGCAAGAGGGGAGAGUGGAAUUCCAUGUGUAGCGGUGAAAUGCGUAGAUAUAUGGAGGAACACCGGUGGCGAAAGCGGCUCUCUGGCUUGUAACUGACGCUGAGGCUCGAAAGCGUGGGGAGCAAACAGG
RNAcentral lists this ribosomal RNA (763 nucleotides) under uncultured Streptococcus sp. RNAcentral's name for it is "bacterial SSU rRNA". It matches the Rfam family "Bacterial small subunit ribosomal RNA", at positions 28 to 776 of the family's 1533-position model. The record is from RNAcentral. Lineage: Bacteria; Bacillati; Bacillota; Bacilli; Lactobacillales; Streptococcaceae.